GCUGGACGUGGGGGAGGCAUGCCUGUAAUCCAAGCAUCUUGGGAAGCUGAGGCAGGAGGAUUGAGAGUUCAAAGCCUGCCUCAG
This 84-nucleotide small RNA is filed under the name Marmota monax (woodchuck). Lineage: Eukaryota; Metazoa; Chordata; Mammalia; Rodentia; Sciuridae. The record is from RNAcentral.